Molecule: ribosomal RNA, 454 nt
Filed under: uncultured bacterium
Lineage: Bacteria
Description: partial 16S ribosomal RNA
Rfam family: Bacterial small subunit ribosomal RNA
Source: RNAcentral
GAUGAACGCUGACAGAAUGCUUAACACCUGCAAGUCAACUUGAACUUCGGUUUGGGUGGCGGACGGGUGAGUAACGCGUAAAGAACUUGCCUCACAGAUAGGGACAACAUUUGGAAACGAAUGCUAAUACCUGAUAUUAUGAUUAUAUGGCAUCGUAUAAUUAUGAAAGCUAUAUGCGCUGUGAGAGAGCUUUGCGUCCCAUUAGCUAGUUGGAGAGGUAACGGCUCACCAAGGCGAUGAUGGGUAGCCGGCCUGAGAGGGUGAUCGGCCACAAGGGGACUGAGACACGGCCCUUACUCCUACGGGAGGCAGCAGUGGGGAAUAUUGGACAAUGGACCAAGAGUCUGAUCCAGCAAUUCUGUGUGCACGAUGAAGUUUUUCGGAAUGUAAAGUGCUUUCAGUUGGGAAGAAAAAAAUGACGGUACCAACAGAAGAAGAGACGGCUAAAUACGUG